CAUUGUCAAUCUUUACUUGCAGGUGUUGUGGAGGAAAGACAAAGCAUUUUUUUGGUCUGAAUACUGCUUCAAAAAAAUGGAACCUUUGAACUCAUUCCUUGCAUAGAGCAAAUAGUCUGAACCCAGCACACAGAUGCUCUGAACCAAUAAAAGAAAUAGGAGAGAAAUAAAGAAUCUGGCCUAAUUUUUAUACCCAUUUUGAGUUUAAAGUCCAUGAUCGGAUGAUUAAAAGAGGCUGAUUUAGAGAUAAUGUGCUGAUUGUAUAAUCUCACGAAGGAUACACCAUGUAGAGAUGGGACAGACUGCAAUGUUCAUAAUGUGAUACAUACAUACAUACAUAUCGCUAUUUAUAGAGUGCCUAAUUUACCAUUGCUCAAAGUGCUUAUGUGCUCAUAUGGGGGAAAUCAGGCUUCAGUAAAUUAAGGGUAUCUUGCAUGUCACUGGUUUGAAAUUGAAAUAAAAAGUACUUAAAAAAAAAAGGAAAAAAAGAAUCAGUAUUACUCUAAUUUGUGUGAAGAAGCUUGAAUUUCAGAUUCUAUAAUUUUAAAAUAAUGUACACAUAUCAAUGGCUUAAAAUGGAUAUGAUGGUUGUAUGUACUCAUCCAGAGUAUAUAUUUUUGGGGCUUACUGCAUGUACUUUCACUGGCCUUUUAAUCCACACAUAACAUGCCUUCAUUCAAUCACCUAGCCAUGUUGAAUUGUGAAUUGUUCCGCUGAGUCUCAAUGAACGACGGUGGGUGCCAAGAUUCACACCCUGAGAUAUGUCACAUAGGUUCAUGUUCAAAGCCAAACCUGGUUUGUUCUUCUCACAUAAUAUAUAUAUAUAUCCUUCACCCGUUAACCUUGAUCUCUCAGGAGACAUGUCUGUGUGAACACACCUCUCCGUGUGAACACAGUGUGAACACACCUCUGGCAUCAUUUCAUACAGUGUCAAGCAUGUCAUGCUACGGUACUUUGACUGGGCAUGAAGUAUUUGAAACAUUGAAAAAUCCAUUGAGGCUUGACGGUUGUGUAUUCUGUGUGUUCAAAGAUCGUUUGUGUAUGUGUGUAGAGAAAGGAUGAGUGCACUCUAGGCAUGGUGUAAGGGGGUGGAACCGUAGAUUUGGGGGUAACAUCCAUUACCCAUGCCACUGUGGUUUGUACCUAUCGUUGUUUUGUACCGGCCAGCGCCAGCUGUAUGAUUGUCUCGGUAGACAGCUGAGAACCGCAGAUCAAUGAAUGAACUUCAUAAUACAGCAAUGAAUGAAUGGGAUAAUCAUCAUUGGAUAUAGCUGACACUGGUCUCUAUGCUCUCCUAACUGUCAAAGUGGAAGAUAAAAUUGGCAGAUUCUUCUUUGCUUCGGAUACUUGCGCCAGUAUUAACAACUUGAUAUCAUGAUUUCAAACUUUUCUUCAGAAAAUCAGUUGGUGGUUUAUAUAUUUGGCCUUGCUCGGUGAUUAUUAGUGCAAUACAAUAUCAUUCUAUUUACAGUUGUUUAUUGCGAUUGGAGGUUGUUGAUGUCGGCUAGCUCCUUGAAGUAUGGUUUUCAUGUUGAGUUUCCUUGUUAACAUUGAGUUCAUUGAUCUAUAGUCUGGAUUCAACACAUCUUGUCAUGAACAAUUAUCUAUAUUGGCUUUAGUUAUGAUGUUUGUACCUCAGUGAUACCCUGCAUAGAUCACAUUCUGUGGAUUAAGAAUUAUUGGAUUAAUUAACACUUUUUGAUCACUGUGAUAUCAUGAUGAAGUCACAUAGACGUCGCUCUUAUUCUCCAAGGGAUGCAGCGUUGAGAACGAUGCCUCGGCCUAGGACGCAGUGGUAUGUGGACUUGUAAGUAUCCAUCACUUUCCUUUCUACCUCUCAUAUUAUGUUUGCACUGUAAAUUCUGCUCAUUUUGGUGUUGUGCAUCCGUCAUCAGUACCGGUAUCAUUUGGAAAAAUGUUCAAAAUGGUUGUGACGUACAGCUGAGAGGUGGUACAAGUUUGGUUUUGUAACUGAUAUCAGGUAUCGGUUACGGUAAUCCUGCUUGAAAUACCAAACCUGUCAUUUAUGAGAUAUAUGGAACAUUUAAAAACAGAUCCCAGAUAUAAUACUCAUAUACUAUCAUAGUUCAUAUCAUAAUUCUAUCAAGUUCCUCCUUUGUGAUCUUAUAUCAACAUUGGUUUUGAUGUCAGCUGACUUUUUCAAAAAAUCAGGGAAAAUUGCAUUAUUCUCUGACUCAAGACAUUUCUUUGUUUAUUUAACUAAUUGUUUAAUGUAAAUAGCUAUUUGAUUUAGUUUUGAAGUGCUUUCAAAACUAAGGAACAAAAAUUGAUGCA
RNAcentral lists this long non-coding RNA (2295 nucleotides) under Strongylocentrotus purpuratus (purple sea urchin). Its description in RNAcentral is "uncharacterized LOC115919441". The record is from RNAcentral. Lineage: Eukaryota; Metazoa; Echinodermata; Echinoidea; Camarodonta; Strongylocentrotidae.